AGUAUUUAGGUGACAUACACACCUGUCUGAGAAGGCACGGAUUGAAACUGAAUGUAAAGAAACAGCAUGGAAGUGUGACAAAGUCAUCUCCCCUGUUCUUUACUGCCCUCCAGUUACUGAAUCUGGGAACCAAGAACUCAGAACUGGACUGAGAAUAUCAUAAAAGCACAAAAAGGAUCCGUCCCUUCUAGAACUGGGCAACACUUUGAAUUCAGAAGCGAGCUUUUGGAGGCCUGGUCUUUUCUCCCCUAUGGAAAGAAUGGAAGGUCAAUGGAAAAGGUGUAAAGAGCUUUCCUGAUGUGUUUCCUCUCAUAGCUUUCUCUUGGUUUUAAUGGGAGGGAACUUGAAGGAAGGUAGAACGAAGCUGAUGUUUUCCAAGCAGCAUUGGAACAGAGCGGAUGACAGGAGUUACUGACUGGGAAGCUACUCCAAGGGAUGGAAGAAGAUAUUUGCAAGGAACUACCCUUCUUGCUUAGCACAUAGGUAUUGGUUUUGAUCAACUGCAGAAGAGAUGGAGCUGAGUUUUAGCAAGAGGCCUCAGAACAAUGUCAAACUAGCAUGUUAAGCAGCCAUGCCAGAAAACUGCAGUCAAUGCUGGAUCUCCCCUGGGCAGCACUGAGCAGUCCUGAAUACCUCCUCCACCAAAAAAUUUCUAUCCAGUGCUAUGGACUCUACAAGUCUCACUCCAUCAUUACUUCAGAUGGACAGCUGGCUAAUUUUUGUAAGUAGUUUCUAGGGGCAGAAGAACUGGGGGCAACCAGGUGUUUCUGUGAUGCCU
Molecule: long non-coding RNA, 778 nt
Filed under: Aquila chrysaetos chrysaetos
Lineage: Eukaryota; Metazoa; Chordata; Aves; Accipitriformes; Accipitridae
Description: lncRNA (ENSACCG00020013170.1)
Source: RNAcentral